UGCUGACUGUAGAGAUCCCCUAGCA
RNAcentral lists this non-coding RNA (25 nucleotides) under Cricetulus griseus (Chinese hamster). Lineage: Eukaryota; Metazoa; Chordata; Mammalia; Rodentia; Cricetidae. The record is from RNAcentral.